Non-coding RNA from Caerostris extrusa, 67 nucleotides. Lineage: Eukaryota; Metazoa; Arthropoda; Arachnida; Araneae; Araneidae. The record is from the annotation of a GenBank genome assembly.
GCGGCAUGGUGGCUAGUGCUCUGGCAUUUGGUGCCAAAGGCCCCAGGUUCGAAUCCUGGCUGUGGCA